This 156-nucleotide non-coding RNA is filed under the name Pan paniscus (pygmy chimpanzee). The record is from Rfam by way of RNAcentral. RNAcentral also lists the same sequence under 1 other name. Lineage: Eukaryota; Metazoa; Chordata; Mammalia; Primates; Hominidae.
GCUGGGUGUGGUGGUGCACACCUGUAGUCCCAGCUACUCGGGAGGCUGAGGCAUGAGAAUUGUUUGAACCCAGGAACUCAGGAGGUGGAGGGUGCAGUGAGCCGAGAUAACACCACUGCACUCCAGCCUGGGCAACAGAGCGAGACUCUGUCUCAA